UGUAACUUGACUUGGGAUAGGAAUACGAAACCGAAGUUGCUAAUACCGCAUAAUGCAGCGGCACCUAAUGGUGACAGUUGUUAAAGCGGGGGAUCGAAAGACCUCGCGUCUGAAGAGGAGCCUGCGGCGGAUUAGCUAGUUGGUAAGGUAAUGGCUUACCAAGGCUACGAUCCGUAACCGGCCUGAGAGGGCGGUCGGUCACACUGACACUGACAUACGGGUCAG
This 225-nucleotide ribosomal RNA is filed under the name uncultured bacterium. RNAcentral's name for it is "partial 16S ribosomal RNA". It matches the Rfam family "Bacterial small subunit ribosomal RNA", at positions 120 to 334 of the family's 1533-position model. The record is from RNAcentral.